Molecule: ribosomal RNA, 497 nt
Filed under: uncultured bacterium
Lineage: Bacteria
Description: partial 16S ribosomal RNA
Rfam family: Bacterial small subunit ribosomal RNA
Source: RNAcentral
GAUGAACGCUGGCGGCGUGCCUAAUACAUGCAAGUCGAGCGAACGGACGAGAAGCUUGCUUUUCUGAUGUUAGCGGCGGACGGGUGAGUAACACGUGGAUAACCUACCUAUAAGACUGGGAUAACUUCGGGAAACCGGAGCUAAUACCGGAUAAUAUUUUGAACCGCAUGGUUCAAAAGUGAAAGACGGUCUUGCUGUCACUUAUAGAUGGAUCCGCGCUGCAUUAGCUAGUUGGUAAGGUAACGGCUUACCAAGGCAACGAUGCAUAGCCGACCUGAGAGGGUGAUCGGCCACACUGGAACUGAGACACGGUCCAGACUCCUACGGGAGGCAGCAGUAGGGAAUCUUCCGCAAUGGGCGAAUGCCUGACGGAGCAACGCCGCGUGAGUGAUGAAGGUCUUCGGAUCGUAAAACUCUGUUAUUAGGGAAGAACAUAUGUGUAAGUAACUGUGCACAUCUUGACGGUACCUAAUCAGAAAGCCACGGCUAACUACGUG